Long non-coding RNA from Suricata suricatta (meerkat), 255 nucleotides. RefSeq lists it as uncharacterized. Lineage: Eukaryota; Metazoa; Chordata; Mammalia; Carnivora; Herpestidae. The record is from RefSeq and is a predicted model, not a curated record. The transcript is spliced from 3 exons.
GGCAUCUACAAGAACUCAGCUUUUGGUGGUCCGUUCUCUUCUUCUCCAAGCCUGGAAUGAAGACACGGUGUAGGGCUCUGUUAUUUCGGUCUCUGAAAGCAGCUGAGCCACUAUCUGAAAGGACACGCCCACUUCCUGGGGUGCUUCUGGCUGUGUUUCCCCUAGUUUCUGACAGCUGCACCAUGGGAAACUCCGCUUCUGCAUUUCUCUUGCAUUUCUGGCAUCAGUCUGCUGCCACCACACCACUCUGUGGCU